UGGGGAUGAAAUUGUUCCAUUCAUACCUACCAGUUUCCCCCAUACUGACUUCUGGGCCAAUUUUGAUGAUACUCAAAACAAAUUUGUCUCUCUAUACACCAAUCUACACUUAACCCAAAAAAAAUGAGAACUGAAAUUGGUAGGGGGAAAAAAUUCCUAGCUUCCUUCUUCAUUAAUUAAUCUCACUCAAACAUAGCUCAACCGUUGGAAGUGUGUUAAUUAUUGGAGAAAUGGUUUUGGUUUAGUGAAAAUGGUGUAUGCUGCUCUGCAGGCCAUGGCCAAAAUCCUUGCUGCUCAUCCAUGCCAUUGAAAAUGUUGCAGAAGUUUUCUUCUUGAACCAAUUGAUCA
This 348-nucleotide unclassified non-coding RNA is filed under the name Hevea brasiliensis (rubber tree). The record is from RNAcentral. Lineage: Eukaryota; Viridiplantae; Streptophyta; Magnoliopsida; Malpighiales; Euphorbiaceae.